AGAGUUUGAUCCUGGCUCAGGACGAACGCUGGCGGCGUGCCUAAUACAUGCAAGUCGAGCGGAGUUUUAUCAGAAGCUUGCUUCUGAUAAAACUUAGCGGCGGACGGGUGAGUAACACGUAGGUAACCUGCCCACAAGACUGGGAUAACUACCGGAAACGGUAGCUAAUACCGGAUAAUUUAUUUUCUCGCCUGAGAGAAUAAUAAAAGUCGGAGCAAUCUGGCACUUGUGGAUGGACCUGCGGCGCAUUAGCUAGUUGGUGAGGUAACGGCUCACCAAGGCGACGAUGCGUAGCCGACCUGAGAGGGUGAACGGCCACACUGGGACUGAGACACGGCCCAGACUCCUACGGGAGGCAGCAGUAGGGAAUCUUCCGCAAUGGACGAAAGUCUGACGGAGCAACGCCGCGUGAGUGAUGAAGGUUUUCGGAUCGUAAAGCUCUGUUGCCAGGGAAGAACGUCCGAUAGAGUAACUGCUAUCGGAGUGACGGUACCUGAGAAGAAAGCCCCGGCUAACUACGUGCCAGCAGCCGCGGUAAUACGUAGGGGGCAAGCGUUGUCCGGAAUUAUUGGGCGUAAGCGCGCGCAGGCGGUUAUUUAAGUUGGGUGUUUAAUCCCGGGGCUCAACCUCGGGUCGCACCCAAAACUGGGUAACUUGAGUGCAGAAGAGGAGAGUGGAAUUCCACGUGUAGCGGUGAAAUGCGUAGAUAUGUGGAGGAAAACCAGUGGCGAAGGCGACUCUCUGGGCUGUAACUGACGCUGAGGCGCGAAAGCGAGGGGAGCAAUCAGGAUUAGAUACCCUGGUAGUCCACGCCGUAAA
RNAcentral lists this ribosomal RNA (819 nucleotides) under uncultured bacterium. Its description in RNAcentral is "bacterial SSU rRNA". It matches the Rfam family "Bacterial small subunit ribosomal RNA", at positions 8 to 806 of the family's 1533-position model. The record is from RNAcentral.